Molecule: long non-coding RNA, 434 nt
Filed under: Monodelphis domestica (gray short-tailed opossum)
Lineage: Eukaryota; Metazoa; Chordata; Mammalia; Didelphimorphia; Didelphidae
Description: lncRNA (ENSMODG00000038721.1)
Source: RNAcentral
AAAAAAUGCUUUCUUCACACCGUCUGGGAGGCUAAUAUUGUAUUAUCCCUAUAUUGCAGAUGAGAAAACUGUGUGAGGAACAGCAAAAAGACCAAUCCAGAUGGAAUAUAGAACAAGGAAAGGAGAAGUGUGUUCCAAGGGAUAAAUUUGUUUUCAGAUUUCUAUCCAGUGAUGGGGAGCCAUGCUUCAGGGGUCUGACAGGUUUCAGGCAAACAACCCGGAGGAAGUGAAAAUGUUGGGAAUGAAAUAAUGCAACCUAGAAACUAUAUUACAAACAUUUGCCUCAUGGAGAUCCAACUAAAAGAGCCAUUGAUGAGCCGGAGCAUACAAUAACCCUCAACAUUAGCAAGUAUACUUUUGGUGACUUCAAGCAUUCCUGUGAUGUUAUUAGUAACCUCAUUUUCAUUUUUGUGGUGCAACCACACACAUUUGUG